RNAcentral lists this ribosomal RNA (274 nucleotides) under uncultured bacterium. RNAcentral's name for it is "partial 16S ribosomal RNA". It matches the Rfam family "Bacterial small subunit ribosomal RNA", at positions 523 to 796 of the family's 1533-position model. The record is from RNAcentral.
AUACGGAGGGUGCGAGCGUUAAUCGGAAUUACUGGGCGUAAAGCGUACGUAGGCGGUUGGUGAAGUUAGAUGUGAAAGCCCCGGGCUUAACCUGGGAACUGCAUUUAAAACUGGCGAACUAGAGUUGAGUAGAGGGGAGUGGAAUUUCAGGUGUAGCGGUGAAAUGCGUAGAGAUCUGAAGGAACACCAGUGGCGAAGGCGACUCCCUGGACUCGAACUGACGCUGAGGUACGAAAGCGUGGGUAGCAAACGGGAUUAGAAACCCCAGUAGUCC